This 576-nucleotide ribosomal RNA is filed under the name uncultured eukaryote. Its description in RNAcentral is "SSU rRNA". It matches the Rfam family "Eukaryotic small subunit ribosomal RNA", at positions 203 to 785 of the family's 1831-position model. The record is from RNAcentral.
UAUUUAUUAGAUAAAAAACCAACGCCCUUCGGGGCUCCUUGGUGAAUCAUAAUAACUUAACGAAUCGCAUGGCCUUGCGCCGGCGAUGGUUCAUUCAAAUUUCUGCCCUAUCAACUUUCGAUGGUAGGAUAGUGGCCUACCAUGGUGGCAACGGGUAACGGGGAAUUAGGGUUCGAUUCCGGAGAGGGAGCCUGAGAAACGGCUACCACAUCCAAGGAAGGCAGCAGGCGCGCAAAUUACCCAAUCCCGAUACGGGGAGGUAGUGACAAUAAAUACUGAUACGGGGCUCUUUUGGGUCUCGUAAUUGGAAUGAGAACAAUUUAAAUCCCUUAACGAGGAACAAUUGGAGGGCAAGUCUGGUGCCAGCAGCCGCGGUAAUUCCAGCUCCAAUAGCGUAUAUUAAAGUUGUUGCAGUUAAAAAGCUCGUAGUUGAACCUUGGGUCUGGCUGGCCGGUCCGCCUCACCGCGAGUACUGGUCCGGCUGGACCUUUCCUUCUGGGGAGCCUCAUGGCCUUCACUGGCUGUGGGGGGCACCAGGACUUUUACUGUGAAAAAAUUAGAGUGUUCAAAGCAGGC